RNAcentral lists this ribosomal RNA (465 nucleotides) under uncultured Klebsiella sp. RNAcentral's name for it is "bacterial SSU rRNA". It matches the Rfam family "Bacterial small subunit ribosomal RNA", at positions 338 to 795 of the family's 1533-position model. The record is from RNAcentral. Lineage: Bacteria; Pseudomonadati; Pseudomonadota; Gammaproteobacteria; Enterobacterales; Enterobacteriaceae.
CCUACGGGUGGCAGCAGUGGGGAAUAUUGCACAAUGGGCGCAAGCCUGAUGCAGCCAUGCCGCGUGUGUGAAGAAGGCCUUCGGGUUGUAAAGCACUUUCAGCGGGGAGGAAGGCGUUAAGGUUAAUAACCUUGUCGAUUGACGUUACCCGCAGAAGAAGCACCGGCUAACUCCGUGCCAGCAGCCGCGGUAAUACGGAGGGUGCAAGCGUUAAUCGGAAUUACUGGGCGUAAAGCGCACGCAGGCGGUCUGUCAAGUCGGAUGUGAAAUCCCCGGGCUCAACCUGGGAACUGCAUUCGAAACUGGCAGGCUAGAGUCUUGUAGAGGGGGGUAGAAUUCCAGGUGUAGCGGUGAAAUGCGUAGAGAUCUGGAGGAAUACCGGUGGCGAAGGCGGCCCCCUGGACAAAGACUGACGCUCAGGUGCGAAAGCGUGGGGAGCAAACAGGAUUAGAUACCCUUGUAGUC